This 253-nucleotide ribosomal RNA is filed under the name uncultured bacterium. RNAcentral's name for it is "partial 16S ribosomal RNA". It matches the Rfam family "Bacterial small subunit ribosomal RNA", at positions 524 to 776 of the family's 1533-position model. The record is from RNAcentral.
UACGUAGGGUGCAAGCGUUAAUCGGAAUUACUGGGCGUAAAGCGUGCGUAGGCGGCUAUGUAAGUCAGAUGUGAAAUCCCCGGGCUCAACCUGGGAACUGCAUUUGAGACUGCAUGGCUAGAGUACGGUAGAGGAGGAUGGAAUUCCGCGUGUAGCAGUGAAAUGCGUAGAUAUGCGGAGGAACACCGAUGGCGAAGGCGAUCCCCUGGACCUGUACUGACGCUCAUGCACGAAAGCGUGGGGAGCAAACAGG